RNAcentral lists this long non-coding RNA (850 nucleotides) under Triticum aestivum (bread wheat). RNAcentral's name for it is "long non-coding RNA (TAES_LNC000285)". The record is from RNAcentral. Lineage: Eukaryota; Viridiplantae; Streptophyta; Magnoliopsida; Poales; Poaceae.
CGAGCGCAGGCCAACGCCCCCGCCGGUCCCUUUCUAACGAACUUAAGAGCAGGCCGCUACCCCCGCCGCUCCUCCUCCAACGGAUGCGAGAGCAGGCCGCCGCCCCGCUGCUCCUCCUUUGCUACCCCAGGUAUGUGGCCGCCGAACAGACAACACGGCCGCCACCCGCCGCUCCUCAUCGUCUUCACCCACGAAGAUGCUACUAAUUAAGGUGGCUUAGCGCUCUGCGGGUCGAUUGAUUUGUAGGAAUGGAAUUCAUAGGAUUUUUAAUGGUUUGUUGGCGCUCUAUUUUGGAGAAAAAUUCUGUCAAUUUCUAAUUCAAAUUCUUGUGGUUCUGGCAGUGUCAACGGAAUAGAGGAACGCAGCGGAAGGAGCAUCAGGCACGCGGUUGCGGCGCCGGCGAAGGUCGGAAAAGAGAUGGGUGGGUUCUCGCCAAGUUUCUGCGGCUCAUGGUGUUCAUCCAACUCCCUAGAACAACUAGAAGAUGAGUUACCACGACUUCUACAUCAAAGGUUGGAUCUUUAGUAGUUUGUUGGUGGGUGUGCCUACUUAUUAAUUUGAUUUGAUAAGUCAACCUGAGGAACUGCAGAUUGGGUGUGAAUGAAGUUGUUAAUAUCAUUUCGUUCGUGUGUACUUGUGUACUAAUGAUAGCUGCUGCGGUUGUCUGUGAGAGCUGCUGCGUUGUAUAAGGCCGACGUGCACCAAUGUAAACUUUAGGUGAAGCUUACAACACGGCGAGGGAUAGCCUUGAUUUCUGCAUGAGUAAUGCACCUGUAAUGUUUCAUGUUGUGUUCCUGGACUGCCAACAUUACAGAAUGAUAAGCAUUAUGAAUCAGAUUUUUCUCCGCAU